AUGAGAGGUCCAGCCUGCCCAGUGACUUUGUUCAACGGCCGCGGUAUCCUAACCGUGCGAAGGUAGCGUAAUCAUUUGUUCUUUAAUUGAGGACUAGUAUGAACGGCACCACGAAGGUUAUACUGUCUCCUCUCUCUAAUCAGUGAAACUAUUCUCCCCGUGAAGAAGCGGGGAUGAACUUAUAAGACGAGAAGACCCUAUGGAGCUUUAAACAUAACAACAACUGCCCCGCCCCAGUUUUAUGUUCCCGAAAAAUUAUUUACCUAAGCAUUUUGAUUGUACGUUUUAGGUUGGGGUGACCGCGGAGCAAAAAACAACCUCCACACUGGAAGGGACCUUUCCCUAAACCCAGGGCCACAGCCCCCAGAAUCAAUAAAUUGACACCUGUUGACCCAAUAUUUUGACCAAUGAACCAAGUUACCCUAGGGAUAACAGCGCAAUCCACUUUAAGAGCUCCUAUCGACAAGUGGGUUUACGACCUCGAUGUUGGAUCAGGGUUCCCUAGUGGUGCAGCCGCUGCUAACGGUUCGUUUGUUCAACGAUUAAAACCCUACGUGAUCUGAGUUCAGACCGGAGCAAUCCAGGUCAGUUUCUAUCUAUAAAGAGCUUUUUCUAGUACGAAAGGACCGAAAAAACAUGGCCAAUGCCAAAGUAAGCCAUAAUACCUUAUUUAUGACCAAAU
This 682-nucleotide ribosomal RNA is filed under the name Leptodactylus discodactylus (Vanzolini's Amazon frog). Its description in RNAcentral is "partial 16S ribosomal RNA". It matches the Rfam family "Bacterial large subunit ribosomal RNA", at positions 1845 to 2780 of the family's 2925-position model. Lineage: Eukaryota; Metazoa; Chordata; Amphibia; Anura; Leptodactylidae. The record is from RNAcentral.